UUUUUUGAGCCGCGUGAUCUCCGUCACGAGAUUCGUGUUUCUUUCCGUCCUUUGUUGACGCUGACUUUUCUUAUCGGGUCCGCUUCGUUCGGCUCCGCUCGCUAUCCCGCGCCAGUGUUUUUUCUUUUCUCCCCGUGUAGCUUCUUCUGUCUCUUUCCUCGCCGCUCGACCCCCUUGUCAUUUCGAACAUGUAAUCCGGAACAGAGGCGAGUGAGAGAGAUCGCCAUGGCGAUUUGGAGCUGCCCCUCGCCUGAUUGGUUUUGUUAAAAGCCUAAUCUGUCGAUUUUGUUCGUCUGAUUUGGUAUGUUCCAUCCCUUUGUUUGUUCCUCAGAUCUGCUUGUUAGUGCUUAGGGUUUUCUCGGUCAGAUCCGUUGCUUGUGUUAAUCUCCCACAUCCUCUGCUGUAGAUGUGUGAGGUUGCGUCGUUUCUGGGAUUGAAACUCGUCUGCCAUGCGAAUUUGAUUAGGCUUUUUGUUUACUUGUUAGUUUGAUUGAUCUGUAUGUGUGUCACGCCUUCACCUGCGUCGGCUAUGAUUAAUCUGUAUGUGUGUCACGCCUUCACCUGCGUCGGCGCCGGUGGACAACGAGUCGCCUGAACUUGAUGAUCCAGACGAUGGCGCAGAACACAACAGUCAGACAUGGUUGCAGAGGGUGAAGCCUCGAGUAGGUGUGGUGGGCUGACUGGUGUGCCCACGUGACAGGGUGUGUGUGCUCUGUAUAUUAGCUGGACAUGCGUGAGUUAAGUCUGAACCGUCUCUCCUGUUCUCUGAACCUCUCCCAACUCUCCUCUCCAUAUCCUAUCCUCCCCAAAUCCCUCUUGUAUUUUGUGAGAUCUAUCAUGAGAUGGGGCAUGACAUUGUGGUUACUUGUUUGAAUUCGGCUGGUUGUUUGGUUGAUCUGUAUGCGAUAUUGUGCAAUCUGAACAUAGUGGAUCGUGUUCAGUCCCCUGCUCUCAAGUGUUGUUAGUUAGUGUAUCUAUGUGUUAAUUUUCCCCUGGGCCGUUUUUUGUUGUCACUGUGUGGAUGUAUGGUUGGUCCCCUGGUUGCCUUGGGAUUGUCUCUGUAAUUCUCAUCGGAUUUACAGUGUAAUUCCUAUUGGAUUUGCAGUGUAAUUCCUGUUUGGUUUUGCAGUGUAAUUCCUAGUGGACUUACACUGUACCUCUCGCUGGGUUUACAAUGUAUUUCAUCGGAUUUAUACUGUAUUUGUCAUUGGAUUUACAGUUGGUUUAGAAUGUAAUUCAUUUUGGCUUUCGGUGUAAUUCCUACUGGGUUUAGAGUGUAAUUCCUAGUGGAUUUGCAUUUUGUAAUUCCCAUUUUUAGCGUGUAAGUGUUGAUGCUAGUUUGCCGUUGAAUUUCGCGUCCUUCGAGUCCAUAGCUUGAUGUAGGUUGGUCCUGCUGUAGCUCUUGAUUUUCUAAGGUUUGGAUUUUAGAUUUUAGGAACUAGAGUUUUCGGUUUACUGUCAUGAUUAUCAUUAUUUUUCUCCACAGUUUUAGUGGAUUUACACUGUAAAUCUUUAUUGGCUUUGCACUGUACUUCUUCGUGCAUUUGCACUGUAAAUGUUUGUGCUUUUGCAAUGUUAAUCUUAGUAUUUUGCAGUGUAAUUAUGACUUGUUUUGCGCUGUAAUUAUAACUGCAUUUUUGUUUGCUAGACACAAUAAUUGUUUUGUCCCAAUUUCCGUAAGUUGGGCAGUUCAGAAGUAAUUUACAGUGCUAACAAUUUAUAAUUUACAGUGGAUCUUCAGUUUCACUUCACCAUUACAGUGCUUUGAAUUCUAGUUCUUAGUUCUUAGUUUAUAGUUCCUAGUGGGUUUUACAUUGUACUCCCUCCGUCCGAAAAUACUUGUCAAGGAAAUCUUGACAAGUAUUUUCGGACGGAGGGAGUAAUUCUUAGUGGAUUUCUACUUAAAUUUUAUCGGUAUUACACUGUAAUUCUUUGCAAUCUUACAAUAAUCUUAGUGUAUAUGUUUGUUGGUUUAUAAUGUAAUCUUAGUGGAUUUAUGUAAUCUUUCUGUUUUUUCGCUGUAAACAUUAGUGGAUUUACACUGUAUUCUUGUGUAUGGCUUUGCAAAUCAAACCCAAGAGGCUUUCUUUUAGUGAAUUACUUGAAAUAAUUCUGUAUUUCGUAGUGGUUUGUCACUGUAAUUUGUAUCUCUUAUCAGUGUAAUUAUAUCGGCAUUCGUAGUGGUUUUCUGUCUGGCUCGAAGAAAUUUGAGUGCAGGUGCAUACAUACGAACCAAAUGCUAAAGAAGGGAGCAUCAAGGGGCAUGCAUUGUACCUGAAUGACGAUGAAGCAGAUUUUGUUAACGUAUGGCUUUUUAAUAGCAGAAAACAUUCCUGAAAAUAAAUAACAUUAUCAAAUAUGCUUUCUCUAACUAGUUUCUUGACAAAUUACAGAGCAGCGCAUACUCUUUUACCAAGCUACUACAUGCGCAAAUGAUGUAGAAGAUAUAAAUGCAUUGCAUAAAUCUCAUAUGCAUCAGCUAAUGAAGAAAGCAUGUUCUAUUAUGCAUUAGCUCAUGAACUAGCAUUGUUCUAUUAUGUGCAGCAACAGCAUGUGGAGCCUACGCCUGAUAUGCCAAACUACAUGGAAUGGCAGAGCACUGUUCAGGUCAUGUCUGGUGUGUUAGGAAGUAGUUUCAGUGCAAUUAUUUUUUAGUGCAGUGAAUUUUAUGGAUUACAGUGGAAUUAAUAGCUAAUGGAAUUUCGAAGUUUGAUUUAAACUGUAAUUCCUACUAAUUUUGAGUGUAAUUAUCAGUUGAUUUUCCUCUGUAAUGCUUAUUUUUGGAAUUUGAGUUUUCUUUUAGUGGAAUUACAGUGUAAUUGUUAGUGGAAUUGAAGGUGCAUAAGUUACACUGUAAUUCUGAAUUUUUUUCACUGUAAUCCGUGAUGAUUUACAGUGUAAUUAUUGAUUUUGCUCUGUAUUACCCAGUGGAAUUACACUGUACUUUAAUUGGUUUUACACAGUAAAUCUUAGUGGAUCUACACAGUAAAUCUUUGGAUUUUUACUGUACUUAUAGUUUAGUUUUACACAGUAAAUCUUAGUGGAUUUUGACUGUACUUUUAGUUUCUUUUUACAUAGUAAAUCUUAGUGGAUUUUGACUGUACUUUUAGUUUCUUUUUACAUAGUAAAUCUUAGUGGAUUACACAGUAAAUCUAAGUGGAUUUACACUGUAUUUUCUUAGUGAAAUUGAAGUCCUUUAUUUAGUGGAUUUUUUAC
RNAcentral lists this long non-coding RNA (3216 nucleotides) under Triticum aestivum (bread wheat). RNAcentral describes it as "long non-coding RNA (TAES_LNC006288)". Lineage: Eukaryota; Viridiplantae; Streptophyta; Magnoliopsida; Poales; Poaceae. The record is from RNAcentral.